This 200-nucleotide ribosomal RNA is filed under the name uncultured organism. RNAcentral describes it as "partial small subunit ribosomal RNA". It matches the Rfam family "Bacterial small subunit ribosomal RNA", at positions 1184 to 1382 of the family's 1533-position model. The record is from RNAcentral.
GUCAAGUCAUCAUGGCCCUUACGCUUGGGGCUACACACGUGCUACAAUGGCCGGCACAAAGGGCUGCAAACCCGCGAGGGUGAGCGAAUCUCAAAAAGCCGGUCUAAGUUCAGAUUGCAGUCUGCAACUCGACUGCAUGAAGUCGGAAUCGCUAGUAAUCGUGGAUCAGCUACGCCACGGUGAAUACGUUCCCGGGCCUU